AAUACCGCAUACGCCCUUCGGGGGAAAGCAGGGGAUCUUCGGACCUUGCGCUAUUGGAUGUGCCUAUGUCGGAUUAGCUAGUUGGUGGGGUAAGAGCCUACCAAGGCGACGAUCCGUAGCUGGUCUGAGAGGAUGAUCAGCCACAUCGGGACUGAGACACGGCCCGAACUCCUACGGGAGGCAGCAGUGGGGAAUAUUGGACAAUGGGGGCAACCCUGAUCCAGCCAUGCCGCGUGUGUGAAGAAGGCUUUCGGGUUGUAAAGCACUUUCAGUGAGGAGGAAAACCUUAAGUUUAAUACGCUUGAGGCUUGACGUUACUCACAGAAGAAGCACCGGCUAACUCCGUGCCAGCAGCCGCGGUAAUACGGAGGGUGCAAGCGUUAAUCGGAAUUACUGGGCGUAAAGCGCGCGUAGGUGGUUUGAUAAGCGAGAUGUGAAAGCCCCGGGCUCAACCUGGGAACGGCAUUUCGAACUGUCAGGCUAGAGUAUGGUAGAGGAGUG
RNAcentral lists this ribosomal RNA (501 nucleotides) under Marinobacter salarius. Its description in RNAcentral is "bacterial SSU rRNA". It matches the Rfam family "Bacterial small subunit ribosomal RNA", at positions 165 to 661 of the family's 1533-position model. The record is from RNAcentral. Lineage: Bacteria; Pseudomonadati; Pseudomonadota; Gammaproteobacteria; Pseudomonadales; Marinobacteraceae.